CCUACGGGAUGCUGCAAUUAGGAAUCUUGCGCAAUGGGCGAAAGCCUGACGCAGCGACGUCGCGUGACUGAUGAAGUCUUUCGGGAUGUAAAGGUCUUUUCUGGGGGAAGAAGGAUGUGACGGUACCCCAGGAAUAAGCCCCGGCUAACUACGUGCCAGCAGCCGCGGUAAUACGUAGGGGGCGAGCGUUGUCCGAAUUCACUGGGCGUAAAGCGCGCGUAGGCGGACUUUUAAGUUGGGGGUGAAAUCCCGAGGCUCAACCUCGGAACUGCCUUCAAAACUGGAAGUCUUGAGGUAUGGGGAGGGAAGUGGAAUUCCAGGUGUAGCGGGGAUAUGCGUAGAUAUCUGGAGGAACACCCGUGGCGAAGGCGGCUUCCUGGCCAUAUCCUGACGCUGAGGUGCGAAAGCUAGGGGAGCGAACG
This 422-nucleotide ribosomal RNA is filed under the name uncultured prokaryote. RNAcentral describes it as "bacterial SSU rRNA". It matches the Rfam family "Bacterial small subunit ribosomal RNA", at positions 338 to 774 of the family's 1533-position model. The record is from RNAcentral.